CAAAACCUGAAUGAAAGCCUCCAAAGGAAAAAAAAGUUUCCUGUAUCUCAUUGGAAACAACUUCUGUUGCCCCAUCAGUUGGCCUUUCACACCGCGGCCGAGCUCUGUUGGUCAAAUGCACGAGUGACAGGUGAACGAUUCGCGCCGGGAUUGAGCCUUCUGUUUGUGUCCAUCUCUGUCCUCAGGCUGCAAGAAAGUCUACACCAAGUCGUCCCACCUGAAAGCCCACCUCAGGACUCACACGGGCGAGAAGCCGUACAGGUGCACGUGGGACAGCUGCGACUGGCGUUUCGCUCGUUCGGACGAGCUGACGCGUCACUUCCGGAAGCACACGGGCGCCAAACCCUUCCAGUGCGCCGUCUGCUCGCGCUCCUUCUCCCGAUCCGACCACCUCGCCCUGCACAUGAAGAGACACCAGAACUAGCAGCACGCACACACAAAGCACUCACUCCAUGUCCCACAGCAGCGAUGAUACAAGCUGCCCGAUGACGCCACAGCCGCUCCUGGUGCUGCUAUCCGGGGCUGAAACGGCCCGACGCGCGUGUUGCUCUUAACCCAAAGUGGGACAAAUCUGAGGUUGUAGAAAGUCGUAGAAAGAUAAUGGGCAGAUGAAGUCCCGGCCCCCCUAAUCUGCAUUUAUACUUGAUAUACAUUUUCUUUUGGAUGAAUAGAAGGGAGAAAAUGUUAAAACAAAAAGGAAAACAGUAGCUUAAAAAAUGUGUCUCCAGUGCAAUUGGACUCUGCAAAAAAAAAAAAACUGCAAACCCGUAAGUCCCUCUAACAUAGAACUGGCUUUGUUUUAGUAUAUUUUUCUUAUAAAGGAGAAGCUUUUGUUUGCAAAACUAGUCAAGCCAAAUCUUUGUUUAACUCCUUGGUUUGUUCAUAUAACUGGAAUAUCCAGGUUUUUUUUUUAACCAAAUCCUUUGGUUUGCACUAGAAUUGUUGUAAGUCUGAGCUUCCCGUUCUCGUCUCACUCACCACUGGAACGAUCGUUAUUAUCACUACUGGACUGCCUGGGAACGCCACACAAGUCCUCGCUGUUCAGAUAUUAAAAAUUGAAGGCAUUUAUACUCUGGAGAGAGGGAAGAUAGCGCAGGAAAAGAAAAAAAAAAAACGAGGGAGGGUUUGAGUGGAAGAGAUUUGAGUUUUUAGCGAGAGGACGUCUGAGGAACAGAGGAAGGUGGACGGCUGCUGGAGAGCAGCAAUUAGGUGGUGAAUGAUUCAUGAUGGCUUUGGAUGGAUUUCCACCCUGUGAAGUGUAAUAGAACCAGUAGAGGCGCAGAAUUCCUUCAGUUUAAACAGAAUUGACCGUGUUUCAAUUAUAAUGCUUCGAUUACUUUACAUCCAUCUCAUCCAGAUUUGUUUUAUGUUUAUUGUGUUCAAAAUGUUUUAACCAAAGCAGCAUCUUCCUCACAAAAACCUUAUUAAGUGCCUCCUUCUAUGAUUCACGUGGUUUUGUGGUAGCAGAGCUGUGAUCAAUUUAGUCCUUUUUUUAAAACACACAUGGUGCUGUUUUUUAUUUCCUAAUCUAUUGAAAUUUUUAUUUCGAUUUCUUGUUUUAAAUGACAAGGUUUACCCAUCAUUCAUUGUGAUUAUUCAUUUUGUGGGACUCUCUGUGGGGGCUUUCACUCUGUGACACAACUAACUUACAAUGGGGCUCAAUCAGUCAGUCAAACAUGGACGUAUAUUUUAUGAAAGGAUAAGAUCACAUUUUUCCAAGUCUUUCUUAAAAGAACAUUCCCACAUGGGCAUUGCAAGUUAUUUGUUGCUGCAAGUGUUCCUCAAGAUCCUUGUUUGACAUUUGACGAGGAUUCGAAGGUGUCAUAAGUCUGUAAUCCAUAAAAGUAGUAUUUAAUCAUUUAAAAAGGUAUGCAUUGUCAAAGAUUUGACUAAAAUGUUAUUUGACAGCAGAUUUGUCUUAUAUCUUGUUAUUGGAUAUUUAACCAAUAAUUUGACGAAUAAUAGUUUUUUUUUCUUUUGUAGAGGCUAAAUAUCAAGUUGUACUUCUUUUACUCUGUUAACUGGCGGAUUACAGCCAAAGCGAGUACACAACUACUGCUGUUUAUUCUCUCCAGACCAGUUGACAGAAACGCGCCUCAUUUGCAUAUCUGUUUUGCAACAUUUCAAAAAAGCAAAAAAUUUGCUUGGCAGUUGCGUGGAAACACGACUGUGUUGAUGUUGAGCUGUUGUGUGUGUUUGUGAAAGCACAAUGAGGGUGUUCAAUUUACUAAAGAGUCAAGACUGACUUUGCAAAGUAAUAAUUUGAGUUUAGUUUAACUAAGAUUCUGCACAACAUCGCCAACGGAUCUCGUCACAAUGAUAUUAGACAUGAGGAACAGUCGCAUCAAUCAAAAGCUCCGCAUGAGAAGAAUGUUUCAGGACACACUUGAGAAAAAUUCCACAUUGUCCUUUUUGAUAUACAUAUAUAUUUGAAUGUCCAUUUUGAUGGUUUGGUUUGGCCUGCACAUAUAACUGUAUUUGUUCCUUCACUGCAGGUAGCAUAAAGAUAAUAUAUCACUGUAAUGUAUCAUGGUAAAUCUGACUAUUUAUUUGAUUGUGUAGAAGUGGGGGUUGUUAGAACAGCCGCCGUUCUCCCCAGCAAAAAUGCCUUAAUGUAAAUAUAUGCACUGUAAAUACCCCCUUCCCUGCCACCCACACCCUCUCUUUUGUUAUUGUUUUGUAAACAAAAGGGCAAAACGAUAAAAAUGCUCUGCAUCCAAAAAAUAUUUGAGCCUUUUUUUCCUUUUUGGUUAUGUUUUCUUGAUGCCAUUGUUUUUAUAUACUGUCCUUCCAACUUAUUUUGUAGAUUUGUUCUUUCUUCCUAGUUAAACGUUCCAAAGACAAAAGUUGUUUUCUCUUCAACUGAGUGAAACCGAUCCCAAUAAAGUCAACUGACACUUUUACAGAUGCGCUCUUGUGCUGAA
Long non-coding RNA from Gasterosteus aculeatus aculeatus (three-spined stickleback), 2924 nucleotides. Lineage: Eukaryota; Metazoa; Chordata; Actinopteri; Perciformes; Gasterosteidae. The record is from Ensembl.